UACGGGGGGGGCAAGCGUUGUUCGGAAUUACUGGGCGUAAAGGGCUCGUAGGUGGCCAACUAAGUCAGACGUGAAAUCCCUCGGCUUAACCGGGGAACUGCGUCUGAUACUGGAUGGCUUGAGUUCGGGAGAGGGAUGCGGAAUUCCAGGUGUAGCGGUGAAAUGCGUAGAUAUCUGGAGGAACACCGAUGGCGAAGGCAGGUCUCUGGGCCGCAACUGACGCUGAGGAGCGAAAGCAUGGGGAGCGAACAGG
Molecule: ribosomal RNA, 253 nt
Filed under: uncultured bacterium
Lineage: Bacteria
Description: partial 16S ribosomal RNA
Rfam family: Bacterial small subunit ribosomal RNA
Source: RNAcentral